Molecule: ribosomal RNA, 440 nt
Filed under: uncultured bacterium
Lineage: Bacteria
Description: partial 16S ribosomal RNA
Rfam family: Bacterial small subunit ribosomal RNA
Source: RNAcentral
CCUACGGGUGGCAGCAGUGGGGCAUAUUGCGCAAUGGGGGCAACCCUGAUGCAGCGACGCCGCGUGAGUGAAGAAGUAUUUCGGUAUGUAAAGCUCUAUCAGCAGGGAAGAAGCAAGACGGUACCUGACUAAGAAGCCCCGGCUAACUACGUGCCAGCAGCCGCGGUAAUACGGAGUAUGCGAGCGUUAUCCGGAUUUAUUGGGUUUAAAGGGUGCGCAGGCGGAAUGUCAAGUCAGCGGUAAAAUUUCGGGGCUCAACCCCGUCGUGCCGUUGAAAAUGGCGUUCUUGAGUGAGCGAGAAGUAGGCGGAAUGCGUGGUGUAGCGGUGAAAUGCAUAGAUAGUACGCAGAACUCCGAUUGCGAAGGCAGCAUACCGGCGCUCAACUGACGCUCAUGCACGAAAGCGUGGGUAGCGAACAGGAUUAGAUACCCCGGUAGUC